This 124-nucleotide ribosomal RNA is filed under the name Myelochroa aurulenta. RNAcentral describes it as "partial 28S ribosomal RNA". It matches the Rfam family "Eukaryotic large subunit ribosomal RNA", at positions 1 to 120 of the family's 3401-position model. Lineage: Eukaryota; Fungi; Ascomycota; Lecanoromycetes; Lecanorales; Parmeliaceae. The record is from RNAcentral.
UAAUUGACCUCGGAUCAGGUAGGGAUACCCGCUGAACUUAAGCAUAUCAAUAAGCGGAGGAAAAGAAACCAACAGGGAUUGCCCCAGUAACGGCGAGUGAAGCGGCACAGCCUCAAAAUAAAAA